UGCACUUCAAUUUGGGUUCACUCAUAGCGUGGGGCACAAAAGUGGGAAAAAAAAAAAGAGAGGAAUUACGACGGCUCACAUUGCAGAAGUGCUAACACAAUAUAUACUCCACCAUGAAAAGGCCAUAUGUGUCGGUAUUAAAAGGGAGCUUCAUGGUCUUCAGGCCUGUCCAAUUGAUCACCAACACAAGGCGGCCAUUUUUCUCAGAAAGUUUCACGCGGCAGGGCAUGUAAAGGCACUUUCACACACUUCUAAUAGGCCGCUUAUCCUCACUAUUACCCCAGCCUUCGAUUGUAGCCGUAGCAGCGGCUGCAGCAUGUCUGGUGCAGGAACUUUUUGCCCCGAAACCAUCAUUCCUUGGAUUUCUACAAAAGCUCCAUUAGGGAUCAAUAGGAUAUAUUUGAGAGAAUCAGAUUGGCGCUUUCACUUUCUGUCUGCUGCUUCAGAGCCCUUCAGAGGAAUCAAUAUGCUAACAUUUCUGUUAAUUUUAAUCAGACUGCAGAAAUGUUUAUUCAGUGACUGAUGGAGGCUCUAUUUUAAGCAAUAUGGAGGCUCAAGUGUUUACACUGCUCCAUCUCUCAUGCUGUACAAACCGUCCAGCUGUUUAUCUUAAAAGACGAGGAUGAAACAGCUUAAACUGUGAUGCAACCGCGCUGCCUUCAUCUGUCCCGGCUGUCUUAAUAUCAGGCCAGGUAAGGGCUGCAGGAAUUGAUGAAUUAAAGCAGCAGACGAUGCCAAGUAAAGCCAUUAGGAUACAGGAACUCAGGCGUGUGUCUGGCUCACCGGUUGUCAUGGCUGCGGUGUUUAUCACCUCUUUUCCUGCCGACAGAAGCCCAGGGGCAAAUCAGAUUGGCUUCAGACAGAGGGAGAGCUGGUGAGUGAGGGGGAGGACAUAUUGGCACGACGGAGGGGUGAAAUGCCAACACGCUGCAGAGGGGAGGCAGAGGACAGGCAUUGGACAAAUGUCAAUAUGGCUUAUUCAUGAUAAGAUUUUGCUUUUUAAACGUUUGACAGAGAUUAGGGGGUUGAGGCUGAGUGUACCACUGAUAUUUGUCAGUCUCAUUCAGGAGGUCCUCACUGUAAAUCCACUGUCAUCUCCAAUUUGGCAAAACCCCUAUUUCAAAUUCAUCUCAACCUAGGUUUUUUUUUUUGUUGCUUUUAGCUCAUUUUGACUUUUGAAAAACCCUGAAUUGUUACCUCUGUUACUUUUUCUCUGUAACUCAAUAUAACGAUAAUGUUAGCCCACAACAGAUGCGGACUACAUCUCAAACAACAGUCUUAACAUAACGAAUUUACAACCUUUAUAUAUUAUGCAAAAGAGAGCAAUAAGGGGUGUUAACAAGGUAGGAUUCUUCCAUCACACUAAUGAACUGUUUCUGAAAUUAAGAGUAUUAAAAGUUGACGAUCUAGUUGAAUUGAGAACUGCACAGAUAAUGUACAAAGCAAGCAACAAUCUACUCCCUAGCAAUAUACAGAAAAUGUUUGGUGGAAGAGAGGGCAGGUAUGUAUUAAAAACAACUACACUAAAAAGCAUGUGUCUUUCUGUUAUGGUGGUGAAGCUAUGGAACAACUUGCUCGAUGAAAUUAAACAAAGCAAAACAAUAGCACAGUAUAAAAGUAAAUUAAAGCAGAGUAUGAUUGAAAAAUACUUAUAUAGGUGAUUUUUGUUUUGUCACACUUAUUGUAUAUGGGUAUGGUACAAAUAAGAGAUUUGAAGUUUCAUAGGCAGUUUCCCAAGGCAUUAGUGAACUAAGUGCCAGCUUAGGGCCCCACGGCCAGGUAAGGGCCCCCAAGAGUAAUAAAAAAAUUUAAAAAAAACUUAAUAUAUAUAUAUUUUUGCAUGUAUGAAUGAUGCUUUCUGUAUGAUAUCUUAUAUAUUAUUGUAAAAAUAGAAUAAAAUAAAGUAAACACAUUUUAAAUGCUGCUGCUAAUGUCGGCCUUUGAUUCUUACUGCCGAUAUGUCAAAGCUCUGCUACCGUUAUGUGCCUUCUGCUGUGCCAUGUGCACUGAGCAUCCAAAGCGCAGGUAGUUGUGGGGCAAAACAAUGUCGUAAAAAAGGACAUAUCCUUCGUGAGCAGAGAAAAGAAAGAGGAAGACGAGAAAACACGCCAAGAAAAGGGUUUUAUUGCAUGUCAUGGAAGGUUAAUCAAAGAGAUUUGUGAAGGUGUGUGAAUGAUCAACAAUCAAUAUUAUUGGCAGAAAUAGAGGGACCCAAAAUCAAAUUUUGCUCGGGGCCCCAUUGAGGCUUGGGCUGGCUUUGUUCAUAGGUAUAUACAGUACUGGCCAAAAGUUUGGACACACAUUCUCAUUCAAUGCAUUUUCUUUAUUCUCAUUACUAUUUAAAUUGUAGAUUCUCAGUGAAGGCAUCAAAACUAUGAAUGAACACAUGUAGAAUUAUGUGCUUUAGAAAAAAGUGUGAAAUAACUGAAAACAUGUUUUAUAUUUUAGAUUCCUCAAAGUAGCCACCCUUUACUUUUUUAAUAGCGCUUCAAACUUUUGUUGCUCUCUAAAUGAGCUUCACAAGGUAGUCACCUGAAAUGGUUUUUACUUCACAGGUGUGCCUCGUCAGGGUUAAGCACUUCUGUCAUCAAGAGCAAAGGGUGGCUGUUUUAAAGAAACUAGAAUAUAAAACAUGUUUUCAGUUAUUUUCCACAUGUAUUCAUACAUAGUUUUGAUCCCUUCAGUGAUAAUCUACAAUGUAAAUAGUCAUAUAAAAAAAAUAAAGAAAAGACUUCGAAUGAGAAGGUGUGUCCAGACUUUUGGCCUGUACUGUAUGUUUAUAUAAGGUCUUUGUCUCAGUAUUAAUGAUUUGUUACUUAUUCAUGUUAGACUUUGGAGCUUUGGCUACUUUUUGGCGACUUAAGAAAUCCUAAAAUUCUAGAGACAUGUAAAAGGUCAACGAAUUAGAAGGAAUGAGGGUAGGUACAAAUAAGCUAAAUGGCUUCUACCUACUAAAAUCGGAGAAUUUCUUGUGUAAAAUUGUACUGUAUGUAUAUUAUAUCGAAUAAACAAUAUCUUUCUCAUAUUAAAAUAUCAGGUGACAUUUGCCCAACAUCCCCCAAAGCCUAUGCCUGCCACCUAGCGGCUCUUGCA
This is a non-coding RNA of Xyrichtys novacula (pearly razorfish), 3093 nucleotides long. NCBI's taxonomy places the organism in Eukaryota, Metazoa, Chordata, Actinopteri, Labriformes, Labridae. The record is from the annotation of a GenBank genome assembly.